AGAGUUUGAUCAUGGCUCAGGACGAACGCUGGCGGCGUGCUUAACACAUGCAAGUCGAGCGAGGCCCUCUUUCGGGGGGUGCCCUAGCGGCGAACGGGUGAGUAACACGUGGGCAACCUGCCCUCAGCUUCGGGAUAACUCCAAGAAAUUGGUGCUAAUACCGGAUGUGACCGCUGACCGCAUGGUCUGGUGGUGGAAAGAUUCAUCGGCUGGGGAUGGGCCCGCGGCCUAUCAGCUUGUUGGUGGGGUAAUGGCCUACCAAGGCGACGACGGGUAGCCGGCCUGAGAGGGUGACCGGCCACACUGGGACUGAGACACGGCCCAGACUCCUACGGGAGGCAGCAGUGGGGAAUAUUGCGCAAUGGGCGGAAGCCUGACGCAGCGACGCCGCGUGAGGGAUGACGGCCUUCGGGUUGUAAACCUCUUUCAGUAGGGACGAAGCGGAAGUGACGGUACCUACAGAAGAAGCACCGGCCAACUACGUGCCAGCAGCCGCGGUAAUACGUAGGGUGCGAGCGUUGUCCGGAAUUACUGGGCGUAAAGAGCUCGUAGGUGGUUUGUCGCGUUGUUCGUGAAAACCUAAGGCUUAACCUUGGGCGUGCGGGCGAUACGGGCAGACUGGAGUACUGCAGGGGAGACUGGAAUUCCUGGUGUAGCGGUGGAAUGCGCAGAUAUCAGGAGGAACACCGGUGGCGAAGGCGGGUCUCUGGGCAGUAACUGACGCUGAGAGCGAAAGCGUGGGGAGCGAACAGGAUUAGAUACCCUAGUAGUCC
This 773-nucleotide ribosomal RNA is filed under the name uncultured bacterium. Its description in RNAcentral is "bacterial SSU rRNA". It matches the Rfam family "Bacterial small subunit ribosomal RNA", at positions 8 to 796 of the family's 1533-position model. The record is from RNAcentral.